GGAUUAGAUACCCUGGUAGUCCACGCCGUAAACGAUGUCAACUAGCUGUCUGUGUUCUUGAAACGUGGGUAGCGUAGCUAACGCGCUAAGUUGACCGCCUGGGGAGUACGGCCGCAAGGUUAAAACUCAAAUGAAUUGACGGGGGCCCGCACAAGCGGUGGAGCAUGUGGUUUAAUUCGAUGCAACGCGAAGAACCUUACCAUCCCUUGACAUCCAGAGAAUUUACUAGAGAUAGUUUAGUGCCUUCGGGAACUCUGAGACAGGUGCUGCAUGGCUGUCGUCAGCUCGUGUUG
This 293-nucleotide ribosomal RNA is filed under the name uncultured bacterium. Its description in RNAcentral is "partial 16S ribosomal RNA". It matches the Rfam family "Bacterial small subunit ribosomal RNA", at positions 775 to 1067 of the family's 1533-position model. The record is from RNAcentral.